Molecule: ribosomal RNA, 255 nt
Filed under: uncultured archaeon
Lineage: Archaea
Description: partial 16S ribosomal RNA
Rfam family: Archaeal small subunit ribosomal RNA
Source: RNAcentral
UUAGAUACCCGGGUAGUCCUAGCCGUAAACGAUACUCGCUAGGUGUCGGCCACGGUGCGACCGUUGUCGGUGCCGUAGGGAAGCCGUGAAGCGAGCCACCUGGGAAGUACGGCCGCAGGGCUGGAAACUUAAAGGAAUUGGCGGGGGAGCACAACAACGGGUGGAGCUUGCGGUUUAAUUGGAUUCAACGCCGGAAAUCUUACCGGGACCGACAGCAACAUGGAGGCCAAGCUGAAGACUUUGCCGGAUUAGCUG